RNAcentral lists this ribosomal RNA (254 nucleotides) under uncultured bacterium. RNAcentral describes it as "partial 16S ribosomal RNA". It matches the Rfam family "Bacterial small subunit ribosomal RNA", at positions 524 to 776 of the family's 1533-position model. The record is from RNAcentral.
UACAGAGGUCUCAAGCGUUGUUCGGAUUCAUUGGGGCGUAAAGGGUGCGUAGGCGGCGCGGUAAGUCGGGUGUGAAAUCUCGGAGCUUAACUCCGAAACUGCAUUCGAUACUGCCGUGCUUGAGGACUGGAGAGGAGACUGGAAUUUACGGUGUAGCGGUGAAAUGCGUAGAUAUCGUAAGGAAGACCAGUGGCGAAGGCGGGUCUCUGGACAGUUCCUGACGCUGAGGCACGAAGGUCAGGGGAGCAAACGGG